CGGUCCGGUAGCUCAGUGGAUAGAGCAGGAAAUUGUUUCACCACCCCCUUGUCGCCGUUCUCUCAUCCCGUCGUGAAUGCAGCGAAGACUCCAUCUUGAAAUGAUAGCGGGCGAAAGCCCUUGCGGGUUCGAGUCCCGCCGGACCGC
This 147-nucleotide transfer RNA is filed under the name Neoluteolibacter rhizosphaerae. Its description in RNAcentral is "tRNA-OTHER". It matches the Rfam family "tRNA". Rfam says of the family: Transfer RNA (tRNA) molecules are approximately 80 nucleotides in length. Their secondary structure includes four short double-helical elements and three loops (D, anti-codon, and T loops). Further hydrogen bonds mediate the characteristic L-shaped molecular structure. tRNAs have two regions of fundamental functional importance: the anti-codon, which is responsible for specific mRNA codon recognition, and the 3' end, to which the tRNAs corresponding amino acid is attached (by aminoacyl-tRNA synthetases). tRNAs cope with the degeneracy of the genetic code in two manners: having more than one tRNA (with a specific anti-codon) for a particular amino acid; and 'wobble' base-pairing, i.e. permitting non-standard base-pairing at the 3rd anti-codon position. Lineage: Bacteria; Pseudomonadati; Verrucomicrobiota; Verrucomicrobiia; Verrucomicrobiales; Verrucomicrobiaceae. The record is from RNAcentral.